This is a long non-coding RNA of Acanthochromis polyacanthus (spiny chromis), 1148 nucleotides long. RefSeq lists it as uncharacterized. The record is from RefSeq and is a predicted model, not a curated record. NCBI's taxonomy places the organism in Eukaryota, Metazoa, Chordata, Actinopteri, Pomacentridae. The transcript is spliced from 3 exons.
UGGGGGGCUGGUGGAGUCCAGUCACGUUAUUUAGGAUCACAGUUCAUGAGACGUUCAAAGACUGAAGAUCUUCUGCACCUUUUCAAAGGAUUGUGUGUCUGCUGGACAUAAAGAAUCUCCUUUCCAUCUGUGUGGAUGGGCCAAAUGUGAACAUGAAAUUCCUCCAUCAUUUCCAUCCAGACCAUGCUGAACUACAUGGAGGUCAGCAGUUAAACAAUGUUGGGAGCUGUGGAUUGCACGUGGAAACAUUCUGAAAUGUCACAGUGUUCAGGAGGUUCCCCGUUAAUCUGAAGAUGUUGGACCACAAGAUGAAGAGAUGUGAAGUAUUUGUGUUACACUUGUACAAUGAUGACAGUGUCCAUCCAGGAGACAGUGACUUUAAUUACACAUGAAGAUUCUGCAAAUACAGAAGAGAUACAGAUCCAGUUUCUGAUUAGUAUUGGCUCUCUUUGCUGCUGUCUUCACUCCUCGUGUUAUGACUGGGUUUACUUCCUUGUACACCAAGAUAACAGCACCAGUCUUUGACAUGACAAAGCCAAUACUGCCUCCUACUGACCAAAAUGGGUAUCGCCCUACAGUUACUGAGGAAGAAGCAGGGACCAACAUCCAUCGCUGAGGUACCGACAUCAGACUGACAGGGUUUGUGAUUUAAAAACACGCGUGUGCUCGUUCACUGCAGAACAUGACUUGUAGUUCACCAGAUCUCAGCCACUCGUUAAUCUGUGUAAAAAACAGUGUGAAGAUCAAAAUGCUUUGUCAGAAGUGUCCGUGUCAAAUCAGCAGAUUGGUUCCAUAAGUACACAUGGCAUAGCAGCAGCAUUUAAGAAAAGUCUUUGUGAAAAGCUCAAUAAAUGUGUUUUCAUUGGAUAUUGAUGAAGCCACGAGCCAGAGCUGGACAACAGUCUGAAUGUGCUUGUUGGUUUUUUGAUGAUGAUGCUUCCAGAGUAACUCAACAUCUGCAAACACAAAAGUGAACAUUGCCUCAACACUAACGGAAGAAGUAAAAGAUGUCAGAAAGAAAGAAGAAAUAGAUCGCUGACCAGUUCUUGUAGCACCAUCAAUGUUUUUAAUUGAACUGUAGUUUUCUGUAGUAAUUUAUAUUUGUUUAUUUAUUUUAUAUUUUCUUAUUUAUUUCAGAUUAUUUAAGU